GUUGUCGACCGUGUUUUUUCUCUGUUUGUUCAGUACAUCUUUUCAUCCUUGAAAGGCCAGUUUUGGACAAGUCUGAAAAAAAGGUGUUGGAGGUUUUUAUCCUAGAGAUUCAUAUCCCGUCUGGAUAGGAGCCGUAUCAUACGGUUCCAGGUCUUGACGAACUUGAGAAAGUUACAUAGGUUUGGCGGGAUGUGGGAUGACAGUCAAAAUGGGGGCGGGAUGCGGGAUGACAGAAAUUUCCAUGGCGAGAUACAGAACAAAAAUUAUUCUACAGGAGCGUGAUUUGCUCAAGUUGACAGCUGGAAUGCGGGAUAGUUUCAAAAUAGUCGUCAGGAUGCGGGAUGAAACAAAAGAAAAUCACGGAGGACUGUAAUCGGGAGAAACAUCCCGCGGGAUGGCGGGAUUAAGCCUUAAGUUGGACCCUCUUAAUUGUGCCUCAGUAUAAGAUCUGUUAAAACAAGGAUUAGACGUCAAGACGAACUAUCUUCUUUCGUGCCUCUUGAACGACGAACUAAUUACGCUCGAUUUCCGCCGCUCACUUGAGUCUGGUCUACGGGGUCCUUUCUCGAGCAGGGUCUGAUAAUCGAGCCUACGAACUAGCUGGCCGGUUCCAGAAAUCAGAAGAAUUAAACUAAAAAAAUAGCUUUCUUAAUAUAAGUGAACUAACCGCCCAAUAGAAUAAAUUCGUCUCACAAACUGAUGACAAUCCUUCCUCUCGUAUUUUUUGCGACUGCGGCGACGGUCAAUAUUCGAACGAAAGGUCUGAGGCGAAUGUAAAAACCGCGAGGGAGAAUGGGGAGAGACGCUUCACACGCGAGGAUUGCGCUUACGGCGCUUCGCGCCUUCCAAAACAUCCAAAAACGACUGUUUUGCAGUCUAUUCCUCUGGAGUUAGUCUCGACAACGAGUUGAGCUGCGAAAACCGAGCUCGGAACGAGAAAAAAUGUCAACAGCGCUCAAAACCCAAGCCAGCUUAAUACAAGCGCGGUUUAUUUCUUAUAUUCCGCGUGAAGUGAAGGAACAGUAAACAAAUAAAAACCCGGGAGUGAAAGGAUGUAGCACGCAAGCAUCAGGACUGUCUACAACCGCGAGGGACUGGAGAGGCCCUUUUGGGGGACUUCACGAUACGAGAUAUUUAGGUAAAAAAAAUAAACGGGAUACAGGAUAUUUGGGGGAAAAUUAAUGGGAUAUUUAGAUCAGAUAAAAUGGGAUAUAAGGUAUAGGAAAAUCGUCAGUUUUUGCAAUUGAAAUUAAUGGAUACGGGAUAUUUAACUCCUUUCCCCUCCCCUUUUAUCCUAUUGGGAUCUCGCUUGAGAAAGUUUUUUCAGUUGGUGUGUCUCGUUACCAUAACGGUAAAUCUUCACAGAAGGAAUGCGAUGAUUAUACAGCUACCGAGUGUGAAAAGAACACAUUAAAAUACAAGACUAAAACUCGGAUGAAAAAUAGUCUACAAGGCCGUUUCUCUAUAGUUAACCACCACUUGCGCACUUCGUGAAACGACCAUCCGAAGCCAAUUUCCUUGGAAUACUGAGGGGUGUAUGAAUUCAAAGAGUGCUGCACCUUCUUUCCAUCACGAGUCGGCUUAAAUAAAUUAAGUCUUUGGUUUGACCACUAAGAAAUUAAUUAAUAACGUUAAUAACGCUAACUAGACUGUUUUCGUGUAUAUAACUGGACGGCAAUCCGGUCGUUUAGCCCCCUAAAUUGAUCAUGCUAGCCCCAAAGUGAGUGUUAGCUCCCAACCAGAUAGCCCCAAGUAAAGCUUGUCUAUUUCUCUAUCAAUUUCAGUGAAUAAAAAUAAUAAUUUUUGUCAAUCACUCGCCCAACCAUGAUUAAAGUCUGUAAGUUGAGCGGACUAUAUAAUCUAAAAGCUGAUCAUGUGAACGGACCAAGAUUUUGGAGCUCAGCCGUAUACGGAUCCAAGACAAAACAAUUAGCGCGCUCAUCAAAGACCAUAGUUGUUUCAGAAGAUUAAGCCUUGGACUUAUUAGAGUCUUAUUAAUUAAAAGCUGCGGGGGAGAACGAUUCCUCGCGCCUUAUUGAAAUCUGGAGCUCACAAGUGAAAGCAGCUCAGCCGGAAUUCGGAUUGGGCGAAAGCCUGGUGCCAAUCUAACUGUUCCAAUCAAGUUUGUAGAUUUUGUGAGAAACCUCCAAGAGCCAAACUUGCCCAAACAUUUCAUCAAUGGAACGCAAAAAUGAUCAAAACCAGGAGCGAAUCGACCUUUUCCGCUCGAGGCUAUGUAAAUCUUAAAAAUAACUUGUCGAUGUAUUAACCGAGUUCCAUUAUAUUUGCCCGUCGACCGUUAAUCCAGUUAUAUUUUUUCUUCCUACCUAGAGUUCACGCUAAUUUCUUUUCAAAGAGUCAUGAUUUCAGAGGCUUUAAAGGGCAUUAUCAAGGCUAUUUCAAAGCCAGAGCAGUGCUAAAAUUAGGACAAAGCAUAACGUAUGAAUAGUCCUUUAAGAUGACUAGAACAGCAAGGUCGAGAAAUUAAGUGAAUAAAUGAGAGACAGAGACCAAAUUUUAAUUAGUUUGAAGCGGCUGUUCAAAAACACAAGGGCAGAACUUGAAAAUGCUUGCCAGAGUUUUUCAAUUUCAGAUGAAACCUCUGUGCUUGAGAACCUAUGCUAAUACCCUUCAAUAGCUUCAGUACACCAGAAUAUUAUUUUAAAAAAAAUGAGAACACUAUUUUUAGCUAUGUUUACGUUGGAGUAAAAAGUCUUGAGACACGCUCAUAACAGCGCCACUCUAGUUCAUACGGUUAUACCGUGACCACCAUUACGAAUGCCGUUCUCUUAUUUGGCUACGCUACUCACUAUCUAUUCUGUUGUAGAUAGUGAGCAGCCUAGCAGUGAGCUGUUGUUAGUCAAAUGGUGGCCGCUUCUUUGUGUUUUCGAAGUGUCUGUGAAGAGGAUUUGGACCAAGUUUUUAAAGGCCUAGUUGUAGAUUCACUCUGCGUCAGACCUACCCGUAUAAAUACUUGCUUAGUUCAGACCAAUGCUAAAGGCAUAUAUUUUGAAGGGCUUUUUAUCAUAAUGAUGAAAAAAGUAGCUUCUUCUAAAAAAAAAGUAAAACAUACCCAAUUUAAGAGUAGAGUGCAAAAUUGGGACUAAAAUGGCCAAAAUCGAUACCUAUUUCUGAUCAAAACGGCUAAAAAAUCAUACUCUUUGGGGCCACACAUACCAAUAUAGUCCACAUUAGGGAGCAUCCCCUCGGGCGGUUGGAAGUUUCCGAAUAAAAAUUUCUUUAGUAUAUAAUUAGCAAGCUAGACGAAUCACUAAUUAUUUAGUUGUAAGAACAAAGUCACUGUGUGAAUUUUUUAAUCUACUGAAUUAAUUAAGACGUACUGUCUCUAACUAAGAUUGUCAUCAUCUUGAGCCGGGGAAACCAAGGUCUCAGGAGGGUAGAUUUAAGCUACAAAUAGAAGAUUUGAAGACUUUGACCUGUGAGGGUUUGCAAGAAACCUAGGCCUUCUCUAGAGCUCACCGUGAGUUUCUUAAACAAUGGGAAAAAAGGAAGACAAGAAAGGCGAACAAGAGAUAGCAGACACUGGCCAAAUACCUCUUGUAUUUGUCAAUGAAGGAGCCAAAGAUGAUAGAAGAAAAAAAGACAAACCCGUUGAUCGAAAACGGUCUCGUAUCUUCAGUACCGUCUCUAUGGAUUCCAGUAAAGAUGAAGAGCAGGUUCAAGACGCUGCAAAGG
Orbicella faveolata is the source of this 3696-nucleotide long non-coding RNA. The record is from RefSeq and is a predicted model, not a curated record. Lineage: Eukaryota; Metazoa; Cnidaria; Anthozoa; Scleractinia; Merulinidae.